RNAcentral lists this long non-coding RNA (10934 nucleotides) under Malus domestica (apple). RNAcentral describes it as "long non-coding RNA (MDOM_LNC013212)". Lineage: Eukaryota; Viridiplantae; Streptophyta; Magnoliopsida; Rosales; Rosaceae. The record is from RNAcentral.
UCUAGGGUAUCAUUAUUGGAUUCUAUCAUAUCUCUUAGGCUAGAUAUUAUUCUAUUGGAGUUGUAAUCUUAUUAGGGUAAGGAAUUUACCUUCCCUACUAUUAUAAAUAAAGGCACAAUGGGGUGGCAUAACACACACCUCACAAUUACACAUCUCUCUCUUUUCUCUUGUUGUUGCCGCACACCCUCUUUCUAUCCUUUAUAUUGUUGAGUAAAUUAGUCCUACAACAAAUUUAUGAUUUUGCACUAAUUUUGUUAAACUUUCAUCUAAAAUUAUUAAGACAACAUGUAGAACUUCAAUUAGCCCAAAAAGAUUGUCAUUCAAUCCUUGUUAUUUAUUGAAUUUAUUAAUCACUACAUAAAUUCCCUCUUAUUUGUUCUGUAACAACCCGUCCCCAAUUAUUAAGAUUUUUAUGAUUUAAAAAAGUGAAUUUACGAAAAUGCCCUUCGAGACAAAGUGUUGACAUUUGUUGACUGCCGUGUCGUGUCACGUAAGGUUCAUUUUCUUGGCGUAUCCUCGUAGUACUUGUCGCUACGAACGCGUGGACGUGAACGGAUCGUGAUUUGGAGUUAUAACGAAAGAGAUAUUAACGAAUGAAGUCUAGGGCAAAAUUGUAAAUUGAUUUAUUUCCAGAAUGCUCCAGAUUUUUUGAGCAAAAUCUGGUGGAGCCACGUGUGUGGCCCAAAUUAAAAGAAAGAAAGAUGGUCGGUGGAGAUGGAGGAUAAAGGAGGAAAAGAGGGAGGAAUGAUGUGGUAAAAACUAACACACAAAUUAAACCCUUUUUAGACAGUUGUAGUAUGAGCAAGUAGGGAUCGUUCUAGGCUGGAGAUUAGGAGGGAUGCUAAUCUACACAAAUUUAACUCAAAAAUACAAAACUAGACUCCAAUGACUCAAAACUGACCAGACUGACUCCAAACAGCACAAAACAAACAAAUUGACUCAAAACAGGAACUAAAGGGUGAUUUGGACGAAUUCUAAACUUAACUUGACUCAAAAUACUAACGGGGGACAUGUUUGAAUGAAAUUUAAACUAAAACUAAGUAACUUGCAGAAAACAAACUAAUUGAUACGAAAUUGGGGUGAAUGAAGGGGGUGAAAGACUAGCUAGAUGAUUCUUCUCCAUACAUAAACCAUAUGCAUACAAAUCGAUUUCCAGUUAUUAUUCCUAUAAACCAUGAAUAACAAUGCCCCAAAUUAAUUGAGAACUGCACAAAUUAACUCUCAGAUUUUCUUAAGGUCAUUGAAUUGGACUCAGCGACGCAAUCAAAUUAUUCUUAUCAAGUUCCCUAUAUGAACAGUAUGAUAGAGAUACAUAUCAAAGAUCUUUAAGUUCUUUGAAAAUCAUAAGCAUUGACAAGGCAUUCGUAACUAUGAAUUGCAUGAUACUCCUGCCAGGAAUUUACUUAACAUAAUCAUGAUUAGUGACUUUUACUAGUAAAUAUAAGUUCAUAACGAUUAGGUGAAAUUCCCUUAUAUUCUAGCAUCAAAUCCCUGCAUGCAAACUAAGUAGGCCUCCUUGAUCAACAUACAAGAAUAAGUUAUUAAUCAAACAGAUAAGUAAAUUGCAUUCACGAUUUAUGAAACAAUAACUGGAUGUAAUCAAUUUAUAUCACACAUGUUUAUGGCUUUGAAUUCACCUCUAGCAAAAACGAAAUUAGUUCCACAUGUCUAUCAUAACUGAAAACCAAAUUAAAACAAACAUUGAACUAAAAACUAAAGACAGAAUACACCUAGAAAUGUUCCAACAAUCCAAAGGCCUUGGAUGGUAGGCACGGCACCAAGCUCUCAUUCCUUGCAAGCUACGACACUAUGUUUUUAUUCUCUGAAAACCAAGCUCUUGUGUGUGGGCUUUUUUUUUUUUUUUUUUUUUUUUUUUUUUUUUUUUUUUCAUUAUGCGGCACCUUUGAUUGUAUUUAUAGGCUGAGGGCACGACACAAAAGUUGUUUUAGAGAAGGAUUUGGCACCCCAAUCCCACAAGGAAAAGGCUAAUUAUACAGCAGAAACUAGGGAGGAUAAGGACUAGAAUACUCGACAGGUUCCUAGAAGAAAAGAUAGGGGCCUAUGUGGCACCUUUUUAGGAAAAGGGUGUGGCUUCUAGAACCAAGUUUUUAGGUGUCCUAAUCUGAAAAUAAUUCCCCCUUGCAGCUGGAAUUUAGGUAAAAUAGGAUUAGGAUGAGGUAAGAUAAGAUAAAGUUAGUUUGGAUAAUGUUUGGAUAAGGUUUUGGAUAAUGUUCCUUCCUUUUAGCUGAUUCCUUAUCUUAUAUGUCUUGAAUUAAUUUAUCCAUCUCUUUAGCACAUUCCUAGCCUCUUUUGAACUUCAAAAACAACCAUCCACCUCGCUCCAUGCAUGUGUUAUCCAUUCCAAGCCCAAAACUGCUCUAAAACGCUUCAAAAUGCCCUUCCUUGCCAACUUUGCCAUUUGGACCUACAAACACAUGAAAAUGGCUUAAAACACUAUAAUAAAUAGAAAGUAACUUACUAAAUGCAAAGGUACCAAAUCGUCCGGAGCUAUGACAAUCUGAUUAUAUCCCAAAUACCAUCAUGAAAGCAAUAAAACAAAUGACCAACUAACCUUUCAAGCAUUUGAUCAAUGAACGGCAGAGGGAAGUGAUCAUUCCUUGUGGUGGCGUUGAGCUUCCUAUAAUUGAUGCAAACUCUCCAACCUGUUUGGAUAGGGGUGGGCAUAAGUUCAUUCUCUUCAUUUUUCACCAUAGUGACUCCCGACUUCUUUGGAACAACUUGGAUCGGUGAGACCCACCGACUGUCCGAAAUUGGGUAAAUUACUUCACAAUCAAGAAGCUUGAUAAUCUCUUUCUUUACAACUUCCAUCAUUAGAGGGUUGAGUCGGCGUUGAGCCUCUCGAGACGGUUUAGCCCCUUCAUCCAAAAGUAUGCGAUACAUGCAUGUUGUAGGACUUAUCCCAUUGAUAUUGGCCAAGGUCCAUCCAAUGGCUGUUUUGUAUUCCUUCAACACCUUCACCUAUUUCUCCUCCUCUUCUGCUGUGAGUGUGGGAGAGACUAUGAUCGGCAAAGUCUCUUGGUCUCCUAAGAAAACGUACUUUAAAUGAUUUGGUAAUGGUUUAAGCUUGAGGGAGGGUGCCUAAAUCACUGAGGGUAACAACUUAUUAGAAGAAACAUGAAACGAAAUUGGGUUUGGAGGCUUACCAACAUGUUGUGGCAACGAUUCAAGGGCAGUUACCAUCUUGGCCACUUCUUCACAAAGAGGCACAACAAGGGCAUCCUCAUUCCUGCCGUGAGUGUGCACAAUUUCUGCCCCUUGGUUUUUGAGUCCCAUUCCUUUUGCAAUGGUAAUUUCAAGGGCAUCCCCAUUUAGGUCUUGAAGAUAUUCCUGCGGCAACUAAUCGAGUAUAUCAAUAGAAAAACAAGAGUGAUCAUCAAUAGGAUACCUAUGGCUUCAGAAAUAUUGAAAUCAAUAAUGUCGCCAUCAAAUUCCAUUGUCAACGUCCCCUUGAACAUAUCUAUCUUGGUGCGGGCUAUUUUCAUGAAAGGCCUUCCAAGUAGGAUCGGCAAUGGAGUAGAAUGGGCCAAAUCUUCCAUCUCAAGCAACAGCUUCUUGUCCUCUUUUUGGCUUGAUUUGGAUGUUUGUGGGUUGGUUCCAACCUCUUUGCUACUUUUUAAUGAUUGCCUUGGCGGUUUCAAAUCCUCCAUUUGGAUUUACAACGGUUGAACUAGGUAGUUUGCCUUGUUCUCUAAACUGUCCCAUGAAUUCCGCCACUUGCCCCAUUUGAUUCUUCAAUUCACCCACCUCUUUGGCUUGAUUUUGUAAUCCCUGCAUCAAUGAAGUUAGUAUUUGAAAAAUUUUAUCGUUAUCCAUUGACGAACCUGAAUUUGGUUGGGCAGAUUGUGGUUGAGGUUGUGUUGGUGCGAAUGGCCUUUGAAAUAUCCCGGGAGGUGGCUGUUUAAAUCCACCUUGUUGUUGAGUUUGUUGAGUCUCCCUCCACUUCAUAUUUGGGUGAUCUCUCCAGCCCGGAUUGUAAGUGUUGGAGUAUGGAUCAUACUUUGGCUGAUUGUGGCCUUAAUAACCUAUAGCAUUGGCACUUUCCCAUCCUUCAUUCUCUAUCAAUUGAGGACAUUGAUCAGAGGGGUGUCCUUGCAUAGAGCACAUGCCACAAACACUUGUUCCUUACACUUUGGAUCCUUCAACAACUUGUGAUAGAAGAACAGAAAAAUUAGCCAUUUGAGAUUGAAGUUCUAAAAUAGCACUUACCUCAUUCACUUGGGUUUGCAGUGGGGGGUCUCUUUGUCCAACUCCCUCGUAUUGUUGUGCAUUCAAGGCUUGGUUUGCUAUUAAGAUCUUUGCUGCAACUGGUGUUUUGUGAACCAAGGCACCUCCCACUAAAGCAUCAAGCAUUUGUCUCUUAAGUGGAAGUAGUCCUUCAUAGAAAUAUUGAAUUAAAAGCUCUUUCUUCAUGUGAUGUUGUGGGCAGGAUGCAACUAACGUUUUAAAACGCUCAUAGUACGCUGGAAAGGAUUCUCCCGGGCCUUGUUGAAUUCCACUAAUUUUCGUCCUCAAAAGAAUGACUUUUGAAGUUGGGAAGAAUUUAUCUAAGAAUGCUUUAUUCAUGCUUUCCUAAUAAGUAACGGUUCCAGGUGCUAGUUCAUAAAGCCAAUCUUUAGCCUUGUCUAUAAGAGGGAAUGUAAAGGCUUUCAUCUUCAAAAUAUUCCCAUCCACGUUGAUUGGGGUCAUGCUCGAACAUACCACUUCAAAUUCCUUCAAAUGCUUAUUUAGAUCUUCCAUGAACAGCCCAUGGAAUUUGGGAAUGUGAUGCAGCAGACUAGACUUCAAUUCGAACUCAUUGAUCUUGCCUUGAGCUGCCCUAGGGUAUUGAAUGCAAAGAGGAACAACAUUGCCCAACCCCGAGGCUGAAAGUUCUUUGAUUGUUUGAUUGUCCACAACCAUGUCUUGUUCCUCUUCUUCUUCUUCUUCUUCAAAUUCGGAUUCAGAACUAGAACUAGGUGGAUUGGGUUCUGGUUGCUUCCUUUUCCUUCUCAAAGUUCGUUCAAAAUCGUUGUCAAACUCCAAUAUAUGCUCACGAACAGGUGGAGAACUUUAAGUCAUAAACUAGCACCUAAAACAAAGAAACAAAACAAAAUAAAAUAAAAAACACAAGAAAAACAAAAAUAGACACAAAGGGGAAGAUUAGCAAUUUUGCUAAUCCCCGGCAACGGCGCCAAAAUUUGAUGUGGUAAAAACUAACACACAAUUAAACCCUUUUUAGGCCGGGGAUUAUGAGGGAUGCUAAUCUACACAAAUUUAACUCAAAAACACAAAACUAGACUCCAAUGACUCAAAAUUGACCAGACUGACUCCAAACAGCACAAAACAAACAAAUUGACUCAAACCAAGAACUAAAGGGUGAUUUGGACAAAUUCUAAACUUAACUUGACUCAAAAUACUAACGGGGGACAUGUUUGAAUGAAAUUUAAAACUAAAACUAAGUAACUUGCAGAAAACAAACUAAUUGAUACGAAAUUGGGGUGAAUGAAGGGGUGAAAGACUAGCUAGAGGAUUCUUCUCCACACAUAAACCAUAUGCAUACAAAUCGAUUUCCAAUUAUUAUUCCUAUAAACCAUGAAUGACAAUGCCCUAAAUUAAUUGUGAACUGCACAAAUUAACUUCAGAUUUUCCUAAGUUCAUUGAAUUGGACUCAGCGACGCAAUCAAAUUAUUCUCAUCAAGUUCCCUAUAUGAACAGCAUGAUAAAGAUACAUAUCAAAGAUCUUUAAGUUCUAUGAAAAUCAUAAGCAUUGACAAGGCAUUCGUAACUAUGAACUGCAUGAUACUCCUGCCAGAAAUUUACUUAACACAAUCAUGACUAGUGACUUAUACUACUUAUAAAUAUAAGUUCAUAACGAUUAGGUGAAAUUCCUUUAUAUUCUUGCAUCAAAUCCCUGCAUGCAAACUAAGUAGGCCUCCUUGAUCAAAGCUCUCCUAGAUUCAUAGAUACAUAAACAGAAUAUGGCAUGACAUUAAUUGAUGCACCUAGAUCUAGCAUAGCAUGUUUAAACCUCGUAUUUCCAAUAACACAAGGGAUAGUGAAACUACCUAGAUCUUUGCAUUUGGGUGGCAGCUUCCUUUGCAACAUUGCAGAGACAUUCUCAUUCACAUGUACCACCUCUUUCUCCCGAAUCCGAUUCCUUGUUGUGCAAAGCUUCUUUAAAAACUUAGUGUACUUCGGGAUUUGUUUGAUGGCAUCUAAGAGUGGAAUAUUGACUUGUACUUUUCUGAAUGUUUCAAGGAUGUCUUUUUCACUUUCUUCGUUCUGUGUUUGCAUGAACCUGCGAGGGAAAGGUGCAUUUGGUGGAAUAACGUUAGAAUUAACCAAAUUGGAACCUUUCUUACAUGUGGUGGACAUAUUGGAUGGAUUAGGGAGUGUAGGAGUGCACGACAAGGUUGUUUCCUUCCUUGCCGUGGGUGUGUGUUGGACAUCCUCCUCUUGUUGCAGCUUCUCGUCCUCCAUUUGGGCAGAUUUUGAUGGUUGGGGGUCCGUUCCAACUUCUUUUUCACUUUUCAAGGUAAUGGCCUUUACGGAUUCAAAUCCUCCCCUUGGAUUCACAAUGAUUGUGCUAGGUAGUUUGCCUUGCUCUUUGAUUUGCCCCAUGAACUCCGCCAUUUGGCCCAUUUGUUUCUUCAAUUCAUCCACCUCCUUAGCUUGAUUAAGCAUUGUUUUAUUUUGAUUUUGCUGCCCCUGCACUAAGGAAGUUAGUAAUUGAACAAUUUGAUAAUUAUCCAUGGAUGUACCUGAAUUGGUUUGGGUAGAUUGUGGUUGGACUUGAGUGGGUACAUAUGGCCUUUGAUACAUCCCAGGGGGUUGUGGCCGAAAUCCUCCUUGUUGGGCAGAUUGUUGUGGUUCUUUCCACUUGAAAUUUGGAUGAUCUCUCCACCCUGGAUUGUAAGUGUUAGAGUAGGGGUCAUUAUGUUGCUGAUUGUGGCCUUGAAAACCCAUGGCAUUGGCAGAUUCCCACCCUUCAUUCUCGAUCAAUUGAGGGCACAUAUCCGUGAGAUGUCCUUGCAUUAAGCACAUGCCACAAGCAGCUACACUUUGUAGCUUUGGUAUUUCAACCACCUGUGAAAGAAGAGUAGUAAGAUUAGCCAUUUGAUUUUUAAGUUCGAAAAUAGCACUUACCUCAUUAACAUGUUGCUGCAUUGGGAUGUCUAUUUGAUCAACGCCUUCAUAUUGAUGAGCAUUCAAUGCUUGGUUAGCAAUUAAGGUCUUGGCAGCCAUGGGUGUUUUGUCCACCAAAGCUCCUCCCGCUGAGGCGUCUAGCAUUUGGCGUUCAAUUGGUAGAAGCCCUUCGUAGAAAUAUUGAAGAAGAAGCUCCUCCUUCAUUUGAUACUGUGGACAUGAAGCAAUAAGGGUUUUAAAACGUUCAUAGUAAGUGGGAAAUGAUUCACCUUGGUUUUGCUGAAUGCCACUAAUCCUUUUGCGUAGUAAAAUGACUCGAGAAGUUGGGAAAAACUUCUCCAAAAAUGCCCGUUUCAUACUCUCCCAUGAUGUGACAGUUCCGGGGGCUAGUUCAUACAACCAAUCUUUAGCCUUUUCCAAGAGAGAAAAGGGAAAAUCCUUCAUUUUCAGAAUGCUCCCAUCAACAUUCACAGAGGUCAUGCUCGAACAAACAACCUCGAACUCUUUCAAAUGUUUAUUAGGAUCUUCCAUAGACAACCCAUGGAACUUAGGAAUAUGGUGCAAUAAACUGGACUUUAAUUCGAACUCAUCGGUCUUUCCUUGGGCAGCCACGGGGUAUUGAAUGCAAAGUGGUGCGGCAUUGUCCAAUCCCGAAGUAGAAAGCUCCUUGAUUGUUCGAUUGUCCGCUGCCAUGUCUUGUACUUCUUCAAAAAUCUGAGCCGGUUGAGGUGGUUGGGGUUCUUGUUGAUUCCUUGCUCGUCUCAAAGUUCGUUCAAAAUCGUCGUCAAAGUCAAGGAUGUGCUUAUGAACAGGUUGAGAACUUCGAGUCAUAAACCACCUAAAACAAGAAAACAAGUAAAGUCAUCAACUAGGAACAAAAACACAUGAAAAUAAACAAAAAGAAAUAACAAGGGAUUAGCAAAGUUGCUAUUCCCCGACAACGGCGCCAAAAACUUGAUGCGAAAAUUAUCUUAACACACAAAUUUAACCCUCUUUUAACAACUGUAGUAUAAGUAUAAGUAGGGAUCGUUCUGGACCGGGGAUUAGGAGGGCUUGCUAAUAACCUCUAAAAAAACAUAAAACUAAACUUAAAAAUACUAAACAAGACUCACAAGACUCAAAGCAAACUUCAAAUACUCAAAACAGCUUAAAACAACUAAAUAAACUUAAACUAGACACUAGGAAUGCCUUUGGAUGAAAAUUGACUUUUACUUCAAUAAAAACAUUUAAAAACACAAAUUAAAACAGAUUCUAACAAAUUAGACACACUAAAGUAAAGGGGGAUUGAGUUUUGGACGAAGUUGAAACAAACAAACAAGUAUGACAAACUAGACAAAUUGUAAAACAAAUUUGAGAAAUAAGAUGAUGAAUGGGAUAGCUAGAGGCUUUUUCUCCACACAUAACAUGUAUGCAAAUAACUCGAUUUCCAGUUACUACUUCAUUGAAUUAUGAACGAUAAUGCUCCAAAUUAAUCGUGACAUCACUAGUUAACUCUAAGAUUUUCCUUGUUUUAUUGGAUUAGAUGACAUCAUUCGACAACCCAAAACAUUCUUCUAAAGUUCCCUACAUGACAUCAUAAUAGAGAUACAAUCAAAGAUCAUUACGUUUAAUGAAAAUCAUAAGCAUUGACAAAGCACUUGCAACUAUGACAUCAUGUCACUCAUGCUAGGAAUUGAACUUAACGCGAUCGUUUAUAAGCGACCUUCACUACAUGUGAAUAUAAGUUUGUAACGAUUAUGUGAAACUUCCUUAUAUUCUAGCAACGGAUUUAUGCAUGGCAAUUAAGUGUCGACCCUUAAUUAACAAAUACAAAUAAGUUAUCAAUCAAAUAGUUAAGCCAAUUGCAUUCACGAUUCAAGAGUUCGUAACUGGAAUUUAUCAAAUUAUAUUGCACACAUAAUCAUGGCUUUGAAAUCACCCCUAGCCAAGAGGGGUUUAACCACUCAUAUUUACAACAAAACGAAAGGAAAUGAAUUUAAACAUUAGAAACAAAAGAAAGAAAACACCUAAACGCUCCAACGAUCCAAGUUGGACAGCAAGCACGUCUAAGCACUUUCCUUCCCUUCCUUUGCUACGGCACAAGGCGUUGGUGAGUGUUUGAAGGUUUGUUUGUAUGGAGGAAUAGAUGUGAAGAUGAAUGGAUGUGUUUGGAUGAAGGUUGUGUUGAAAUGGUUAUGAAUGAUCUAACCAAGUAUGAACUAAAUUUAUGUUACACACACUUCAUUUUAUAGAGGAAGUGCAUGGCAAUGGAGGGGAACAUGGGGUGGUGUAGCAACUGAGUGCAAUGAUGCAUGAAAUUUGAAAUGAUGGAGGGAACAAGGAAUGGUGUAGCAAUUGAGUGCAAUGAUUCAAUGUAAUGAUGCAUGAAUCUGAAAUGAUGGAGGGAACAAGGAAUGGUGUAGCAAUUGAGUGCAAUGAUUCAAUGUAAUGAUGCAUGAAAUCUGAAAUGAUGGAGGGAACAAGGAAUGGUGUAGCAAUUGAGUGCAAUGAGUGGUGUUUGAAAUGAUUCAAAGGUGAAAGUGAAGUGAUGAUGCAAAGCAUAUGGGUAAAAUGGAGUGGUGUUGCAGCUAGGGAACAUGAAUGAUUGUGCACAUGGUAGAGAAAUGAAAGGGAGGUGGAAUGAUGGAACAAAUGAGUCAAUGGAGGGAACAUGGAUGAUGAUGCACGACAAUGAUGGAAAGGUGAAUGGUGGAGUGACACCCCUUGUGGCUGAGCUCUUUGUCCUUUUCACAUUAAUUCUUCUUUCUAUUUAACACAUUCCUAGCCUCUUUAGUCUUCAAUUUCGUCCAUCCACCUUUCUCCAUGCAUGUGCUAUUCAUUCCAAGCCCAAAAUUGCUCCAAAAUGCACCAAAAUGCAUCUUAUUGCUUCAUAAGGCCUAUGGACCUACAAACACACAAAAAUAGCUUAAAAUACAUAAUUAACUAAGAAAUAACAACAUAAAUGCAUGAGAACAAGCUAACUCAGUCGCAUAAAUAUGCUCCUAUCAAAUGGCAGGCUAUGUUUUUAUUCUCUAAAAACCAAGCUCUUGUGUGUGGUUUUUUUUUUUUUUCAUUAUGUGGCACCUUUGAUUGUAUUUAUAGGCUGAGGGCAUGACACAAAAGUUGUUUUGGAGAAGGAUUUGGCACCCCAAUCCCACAAGGAAAAGGCUAAUUAUACGGCAGAAACUAGGGAGGAUAAGGACUAGAUUACUCGACAGGUUCCUAGAAGAAAGGAUAGGGGCCUAUGUGGCACCUUUUUAAGAAAAGGGUGUGGCUUCUAGAACCAGGUUUUUAGGUGUCCUAAUCUGAAAAUAAUUCCCCCUUGCAGCUGGAAUUUAGGUAAAAUAGGAUUAGGAUGAGGUAAGAUAAGAUAAAGUUAGUUUUGAUAAUGUUUGAAUAAGGUUUUGGAUAAUGUUCCUUCCUUUUAGCUGAUUCCUUAUCUUAUAUAUCUUGAAUUAAUUUCUCCAUCUCUUUAGCACAUUCCUAGCAUCUUUUGAACUUAAAAAAUGUCCAUCCACCACACUUCAUGCAUGUGCUAUCCAUUCCAAGCCCAAAACUGCUCUAAAACGCUUCAAAAUGCCCUUCCUUGCCAACUUUUCCAUUUGAACCUACAAACACACGAAAAUGUCUUAAAACACUUUAAUAAAUAGAAACUAACUUACUAAAUGCAAAGAAACAAGCUAACUAAGAAGAAACUAACUUACUAAAUGCAAAGAAACAAGCUAACUAAGUCGCAUAAUUAUGCUCCUAUCAAGGAACAUGACGAAUGAGGAAGAGAGAAAAGGAGGAGAACCAAUGGGAAAAGAGGA